RNAcentral lists this transfer RNA (72 nucleotides) under Rattus norvegicus (Norway rat). It matches the Rfam family "tRNA". From Rfam's summary of the family: Transfer RNA (tRNA) molecules are approximately 80 nucleotides in length. Their secondary structure includes four short double-helical elements and three loops (D, anti-codon, and T loops). Lineage: Eukaryota; Metazoa; Chordata; Mammalia; Rodentia; Muridae. The record is from Rfam by way of RNAcentral.
GGAGAGAUGGCUCAGUGGUUAGAGCACCGGCUGCUCUUCCAGAGGUCCUGAGUUCAAAUCCCAGUAACCCCA